Molecule: ribosomal RNA, 496 nt
Filed under: uncultured bacterium
Lineage: Bacteria
Description: partial 16S ribosomal RNA
Rfam family: Bacterial small subunit ribosomal RNA
Source: RNAcentral
AUGAACGCUGGCGGCGUGCCUAAUACCUGCAAGUCGAGCGAACAGACGAGGAGCUUGCUCCUCUGACGUUAGCGGCGGCCGGGUGAGUAACCCGUGGAUAACCUACCUAUAAGACUGGGAUAACUUCGGGAAACCGGAGCUAAUACCGGAUAAUUUAUUAAACCGCUUGUUUCAAUAGUAAAAGCCGUUUUUGCUGUCAUUUAUAAUUGGAUCCCCGCCGCUUUAGUUAGUUGUUAAGUGAAAGGCUUACCAAGGCAACGUUGCGUAGCCACCCUGAGGGGGGGAACGGGCAAAAUGGAAAUUAGGAAAGGUCCAGAAUCCUAAGGGAGGGAGCAGUAGGGAAUCUUCCGCAAUGGGCGAAAGCCUGACGGAGCAAAGCCGCGUGAGUGAUGAAGGUCUUCGGAUCGUAAAACUCUGUUAUUAGGGAAGAACAAAUGUGUAAGUAACUAUGCACGUCUUGACGGUACCUAAUCAGAAAGCCACGGCUAACUACGUG